This 333-nucleotide long non-coding RNA is filed under the name Brassica rapa (field mustard). RNAcentral describes it as "long non-coding RNA (BRAP_LNC006157)". The record is from RNAcentral. Lineage: Eukaryota; Viridiplantae; Streptophyta; Magnoliopsida; Brassicales; Brassicaceae.
AGACCACUAACAAGAAUAAAUCAAAUACAUACAAAUAUAUGAUGUUUCCUAGUAAUUGAAUAGUUGUUAAGAACCAUGGACGCAUGAACUUUUUCAUAUAUUCUCGUUUCUUGAUGCAAACGUCAAAAAGAAUAGCCCGGUAUGGUUUGUGGUGGUUCCGUCAUAUUUGAGCUGCUAAACCGAGCCAAGAGGUGGUGUUGUUGUCUCCGGUUUGAGGCUUUGAAGACGCUUUGGCUGGAUCACUUAGUUGGUAUGGUGCCUUUGACGUUACUCUAUCCUUUCUCUUGGCCAAGAACCGAUGGAGUGAAGCUCUUCUAGCAAUAGGAAGUUCUG